GCUCGGCUGACCUCUAACUUCUCUGAAAACACGAACAAGACAGACCUGCUGCUGCCUGGGCUGCCCCAGGGGGCUCUUUUUCCACUUAUGUGAUUUCCUUUGAUAUUAUUUCUCUUCUUUCCAUAUCCAAGGCUCAGACCUUCAGUGCUCCCUGCAGUUCAGUCCCGUUUUUUGUUUUUUUUUUUCCAGCCCCUUAUUGCCAGCUCCCAGUUUGCGGAGCUCACUCGGCUCGCCAGGAGCUCCUGGCACAGGCAGGUGGCUGGGAACGGUGGUGCCGGGUAGUGCAGGAUGCACGAAAUUCCCAGUUUGGAGACCACCGAUGUCAAGUACCUUUAGCUGUCCCUGCAGCGUUCAAAUGUUGGAUAUCUCUGCUUGGUUGACUUGCAUUUUCAAACCCAGAUGUCCCAAAAUCCACACCAAAAAAGGCCAGGAUUUCAGGUGAAGGUUUCCCCAGGUGUCCCCAUGCUCAGGGCUGAACCUCCUCAUCACACACACACACAUUUAGGUACUGGGAUCUAAGUUUAGGACCUCAGCUUUGGACGUGCAGUUCAACAGCUCUGCCUGCUGCUCCGUAUUCAUUACCGAUCCCAUCCCACAUGGACCUGAAGCCCACCAGGCAAGCUCACAUGCAGCUUAACACUCAACUGAUUAACUCUGGCUUGGCGUAAGCUUUUUUUCAUGCCGUUCUUCAGCAAUCUGACAUGAAAAGAGACACACACACACUUCCAUGACUCAGAGGAAGGCAGUGAUUUCAAGCCAUAAAGCACCAGGUGCACUUUUGAGACUCACCAAAUCCAGCUCUCCUGGUUGCCAUAAAAAACACAUUAGCCAAAGGCUGAUGCAUGUGGAAGGCAAUUACGCUCUGGCACAUGGCAACAUGUACAGAACAGCCUGGUAACACUGCCUACCACACGAGGAAAAAUAUCCCUGUGAAAACAAGCCUGCUAAAUCACUUCAUUCUUCCCUGAAUCCCCUGAAAAUAAAAGGGAGGAUUUGGGGGAGGAGGGGGACCCCUGAGGGAGGGAGUUUCCCAAAUGUAGGUGCACCGUGCAAGACCUGAUGUAAAUGAAUGGGUUCCUGCAGAUGCAAGAAGCUGUGAGGAGGUCUCCUAGUCCAGGUUUCCACACCAGCACCUGACCAUGCUCAGGUAGCUCCUGCUGCUGAGUGCUCUGCAGUCAGCAGCCCCAGUGCCUGCCUCACCCACCGGGUCCACAGAAGCCCACCUCUGCCAUGAACGCCAGCUGAGGACCCUCAACAUGGGGACAGGAGCAAGCAGAGAGAAGGUCUUCAAAGGAAGAAAUUCCAGAGAAGGUGGAAGAUUACUGAAACGUGGCUUGAUUGAGAGAAAAAAAUGCUUGACUCCUUUUUUUUUUUAUUAUUCCUGCAUGGAGCAAAUGGCUGAGGAUGGCAUUCUUUGUGGCUGGAAGUAUCCAGCAGUCUCCAGGUGGGGAUGGUGUUGAGGUGACUCUUGUAAAAGAUUAGUCCUGCACACACGUGCUGCUAUCUACAGAUGUGCCUGCAAAGAGGCUUGUAGAUAUAUUUUGCCUCUUGGCUUCAAAUAAAACUGUGCUUCAGUCAGCUGGUGAUUGUGAUGUUCCCCCUGCACAGGAAUAAUGCCCAGGGUCCCUUUCCUCUACUCCCACCUCGGGAAGGAGCUGGAUAAACAGCUGGAAAAAGUCUGUGACCUGAAGGCUGGUGAGGGAGGGGAAGUAUCUCACUAUCUCACCCAGUGCUGUGCAGAGAAGCAGAGGCAGAGCCAAACACCCUAACCCCUGGCCCCUCACCCAGCAGAGGACACCAGGUAGAAAAGAGGCUGUGAGGAUGGUGAACAUUUCAUCUGGGUCAAAUACCAUUAAGCAAAAAUACCAAGCUGGGAAGCACAAAAACAGCAUCAGCUGAAGGUCUGCAGUGGGAUGAAUCUCCAGCACUUCCACACCUUCAGCUCUGGGAACCGAAGCUAAACCUUGCUUUGAUGUGGGACUUUAUGGCUGCGCCCGUGUGGCUGCAGGGGGCAGUUCUGCAGUCCUAUAAAAUAGGUGCACAGUAGGUAAAAGGGACGCGCCAGAUAAAAGGGACGCACGCAAGAAACCCAUCCCUGGCACUCUAGAGGGGCGUGAGCUUCUCCUGCACUUUUCUUGAAGCCACCAGAAGCACUCGCUGCCCUGAGCUGCACGGAGGAUGCGAGAGGGGAAGCCUGUCAACGCGCAGAUUAAAAUUAAUGCUCGUCCUGGCUGAGACGAGGGAGCUGCACCGCUCGGGUGGAAGAUGCAGCACCAGGGAGUGCAGGAGGAAGGGCAGGGCUGGCGUUUCACCUCUGGGUUUGCAUUUCUUGGAUAGACCCGACCUGUGCGGGGUGGGUGCGCGGCGUUACCCAGCCAGCCGCAUCCCACCGACGCUUAAUUUGAAAUUCCUUUGUUAAAAAUUAUUUUUAUUACCAUUUUCCAGACCUCGAUGCCGAGUUCUGGCAGCAAUACGGGGCCGGGAGGUGUCGGGGCACACCGUCUGCUCCCUGCUGCUGGGACGCGGGCAGGCUGAGCGCUGCGCCCGUGCUUCUGGCUCCCCAGCAGGCUGCCGGGGCUCCCUUCCCUCCCAGCGCAGAGAUAAGCGUGCCACCUAGAGGAAAUCCCCUUCACUGCCAGCACCGGCAGCUGAAAAUUAUCCAAUAAAGAAUAAUUAACCUCUGGCUUGGGAGAAAAUCCUCCUCCCGUGCCCUGCAGCAGCUCCGGGCUGCUGCGCAGGCACGUCGCGGAGGGAUGGCGAUGCACCGAGGUGCCCCAGUGAGCGCUGUGGGGCCAGUCCGUGGCUUCCCAUAUCCCAUGCUCUGCCAUCCCUGCCUCUGAGAAACAGGCUGCACGUACCACGGGGCGAGGGGACUGUAUAUAUCAUAUAAUGCCCUCCAGUGGCAGCUAGCAGCAGUCCCAAGCCCACAGGUGUGAAGGUGAAGGGGGACGGUGGCGGUGUCACCUCCUGGCCCAGCAGCUCCCACCCCGUGGGGCCCGGGCAGUGCUGGGGAUGGAGCUGUGGCCCCACAGAGGGCAGAUCCACGUCUGCACAUUGUUCCUGAGAAAAAUCUCCUUUGUGCUUGACUCGCCACGGGCACCCUCACCAACCCACCAGGCACCCGCGGGGCCAGAAGAUGCAAUGUGGGAGCAGGUGGGGCAGCAGGUGCCACAAACCUGGUGUCCUCUAGGAUUUUUCCCUGCACCUCUCCUGCCCGCACUGCUCCUCACCACCUCGUGGCUGCUGUCCCAAUGCUGGUGUCCCUGCGGCUGGGCACGGUGCUCGUACAGAGCAAAGGGCUUCACGGCACCACGCGGGAAGCUCGCGCGCUUUGCAGGCCUUUUAUUUCCUGCCAUGGCCGAGAGGAGCCUAGUUGUAAUAAAAAUCUGGGCUCCGAUCCUACAAACACUUAUGCCUAAGCUUAACUCUAAGCACGUGAGCCGUCAAAGGGGACUAUUCAUGUGCUUAAAAUUUAAGCAUGUGCUUAAGCGUCUGCAGGCCUGGAGUCUGUCAGUGCGGGGAUUUGUGUGCUAAGCCCAUAUUCUGGGUCAUUAUCCUUUUCAUGUCUUCUCUGGCAUUUCAGAAGAUGCUUCAAAGGGGAAUUUUCAAGUUCUUCAAUAAACUUUGCCUUCCCAAGCAGCCUGGAUUCUUGCCUAUUCUAUGGGGCGAUUCUCCUCCGCUGCACCCCCUCCCCCUGUCAGCGAUAAUCCUGUGCUAUUUCAUGCUUGGCCAGACAAUUAAGCCCUCUUGCUGCUUGGCUCUGUCUUUGUUAUGUAUAAUUGUUCCAAAUAAUUAGCCACUAUUGCACGCUACUCUGAAACUACUUUGUAUUGCAAUUAUACUUAGAGGGCGAGCAUCAGCUGAGGGAGAACCCAAGCAGCAGACAGCCUGCAAAGAAAGGGCCGGGGGGAGACGGAUGCGCGCCUAAAGCAGCACCGCAGGGCGGCCGAGGGUUGGGAAUAGAUAAAUGGUGCUUGGGGAUGGUCUGCAGAUGGUGGGGUCUGUCCAGAGAGCUGAGGGUGGGCUGUGGGACCUCGUCCUGGGCGUCACCUGGCUGCCACCUCGUGGUGCUGGCUCUGGAGCAGCAGGUAACACUGCGGUGAGCGCGUUGGCCAUCUCUGUGUGAUGGGAAUGCAAAGCUGCUCUGGGAUGUUUAGGGGCUGGCAGCAAAAUGGUCCCUACUUGUGUCUGUGGGUACUUUUGGGGGGUGAAACGUGUGGUUCCCAAGGGUCCGGCAGCUUUCUGUUUGCUCACCAGCAAGCUCGUCGCACAGUGGACAAGCACCAGGCGGGAUGCUCAGAAGAGUUACACCUCCACGUGAAGCACCUUUUUUUAGAUGAAAAUGCUGUGGUGCAGCACGGGCACCUUAUUAUUACUCAGUCUCUGGUAUUUCAAGCAGGGAACAUCUGAGAAGGAUAUAACCAGGCACCUGGGUUGGUGUGAGCUGUGCUGGUCAGUUAAUUCCUCUGCUGAAACCUGGGGCCUGCCCUGAGCAAGGGCACUUCAGCAGUCCCAGUGCACAGACUGUGUCCCGCAGCAAAUACUUCGAAAAAGGGUAAAGGAGAGUGUAUCCUGAGAGAUCCUUUCCCAGAUUUGAUAAAUGGUGCUUUGGGAGUUUCCCAACCUGACGUGUUUAGUGGUGACCCUCCCUGAGCAAACCCCAUCUCCUCCUGGUCUCGGCCGUGCCCCAAACCCCAACGGGCCACACACGGAGCCCCCCCGUGUCCCCUUGCCCAUUGUGGGGACGACGAGGACGAUCCGGGUGCCCCCUGAGCCCCCCCGGUCGCCGGCCGGGAGCGGCUUCCCAGGGCUUUCCACUGGAGGUCAGUGUUGGCCCGAGCACGGCGGCUGCCACCCCGGCCACCUCGCCCCUGCCACCGCGGGGGACAGACCCCCUGUCCCCACAGCCGGCGCUGUGUCCCCUGUUCUACUUCGUUAGGAAUUCACCAUCGGCCGGCGGAGCACAUUUCUGCUGGUCCCACUGCACUCAUCACUCCAUCACCGGGUGGCCCUAAUGGCUGAGUCCUGACCUUUUGGUUCCUUUGGGUCCCUUUGGGUCCCUUUGGGUUCCUUUGGGUCCCUUUGGGACCAAAACUUCUGUCCGUCUCCAAGUGGUGCAUGUGCACAGGACAAAGCAUCACCUGGAAUAAAACUUCCUUCUGAUCUACAAUUUCCAGCACCGGGACUGCCAGCGGACACCUGGCAGCAUCCAGCCAGAACCCAACCCUACCGGAGGGACCGACCAAUCCUCCAGGAAACGUGCUUCUAAAAUUUCAGCUCAUGUGUUUGUUUGCACCCAAGUGGAAAAACGCUAUUUGUAGCUUGGGAAUAGCACCUGAAAAGAGCACUCGGCGUUGCUUGUUUUAACCUGUGGGGAAGCAGCAGGAAUUUGGGGCACGCAUGAGACGAGCAGAACGCCGCCGUACGCAGGCACCCGCGGCAGCCUGGCCAGAUCUCCCCGGGCAGCUGCUGUUUCUGAGAGAAAAAAUGCUUUAGCUGUCAAUGGGAGCAAAGCUUGGGUACAAGGCUCCCAACAUCCAGGCUGAGCGACCUGAAUCCUGCCCAAUUUACCACGGCAUCCUCCGAGAAGCCAUCUGCCCGGAUCUCCAGACAAACCUCUCUGGCACAUCUGAUCCCAAAGGACCACGCUCAUUCCACCAUGGAGAAGAGCAAACAAAGUUUAGCCUCUGGCUUUCUGGAGUAAGAUGAGGACGGCUCUGACUGCCACUACUUAAUAUCACCUGAACUCUCCGGCUGCUGCUAAAUAAAGAGGGGAGGAUUUCAAAGGAGACUUGGUUUCACAGCCAAAAUCUGGGUGAUAAUUGCUCCCGUUUCAUUCAAAAUCCCUCUUAUUCACUGAGUAGGGACACUGAAAAGACACUAAAACAGACAAAGGGCGCAGGUAUAAACUUUACAAAGCUUAAAACUACUCUGUCCCAGCAAGGCUUAUGCUUUACAUGACACUUUAAUCCUACUCAUUUGCUAGAUUCACCCUAACUGUAAACAAAGCUUUGAAACGAAAGCUUAAGAGCCUAGUUGGGAUACAUUAAGUUAACCAAGAAGACACUCUUAAGGCAUUAGUUUAAUGACAAUCCCAAUACGAGUGCCAGAGGUUUGUGCAUGUGGGGAUUAAUAUCUGUAGGGAGAAGAAAAGGGGUUUGUUCCCCGUGCUUUCAGCCUCUUUGGCAACACAGGGCCCACUGCCUGCUGCCUGCAGGCGAUCCGACAGCAUUGAAAACCUUUUCUGACACCCACUGCUCACCCUGCAAGGCUCUGGGGGGACUGGGUUGGAGCAGGGGGCCAGAUAUCCUAGCACCAAGCCCGGGGAGCUUCAGCAUCACCUGCCCACCCCCGCCACCCAGCACCCAUUCCCUUUUGCACCAGUGCCGGGCUGUGCCCCGCUGUGCGCCGCGUACAGGACAGCACUUUGCAGGCUUUCUGGAGGUAAAAAAUCUCUACCCAUAGACAGCUUUUAUAGAAAGCAGAAAUAUUUUCAGGGGAAAAGUUUUCUCACCCAGCCCUUUCCGAGCAGGGCUAUCAGUAAGCGAGAAGCACAGAAGCUGCUGCUGGGAGCAGCGGGGGAGCUGAAAGGAGAAACCAGACAAAGCAGGAGCAGACCAGAGCCAGGAGGUUUUUACAGACAGGUGAAUCCCCAUUUUUAAGGAGACCGAGAAAAGAAAAGCCCCGACAGUGCCCUGCACACAGCUUUUGGUCACAGACAGCAGUCGGGGGAUGAGAUGCUCGGGUCUGCACCGCCACCCCAGUGACACCCAGCUCCUCCUUAAGGGCUGUGGGAACCGCUCUGCUUCAGAGCACUCCCUGCAGUGAUGGGGGAAAUCAGUUGCUUUUACCUGGAGGGUGUUUAGACAAGAAAAGCUGAAUCCAGCAACCAGUGGCGGGGAGUCCUGCCUCCUAGCCUGGCUGAGCACUCUGGCUGGACGGUCCUAUAAAUAAAGAGCACCAGGCUGGGCAGUGAACAGACUGGGAUUUUAAUCGAUUUUGUGCCUAGGAAGGAAAGCUACGAUCUCCUAACCUGAUGUGCUAAAUCACAGGUUUACCUGCAAGGGAUUUCGGGGAGGGAAGACACGCUCCCUGCUACACAGAUGGAAACCAUCGGGUCCAGCAAGAACAGCGUGGGCAAACCUCUCAGCUCCCUCGUGAUGACUGCAACCAUCGCACAGCUCGGCAGUGAUGUUCCUGGUUCAUCUUCUGCCCUCGCCAGGGCUCAGGCAGGGCAGCGCGGGCUCUGGCAGAGCUGUGCUGGGUCCAGUCCUGGUCAGCCACUGGGCGUGCUGGGGUGGUCUAAACAUCAGAAAAAUAAUGGGAAAUGAAAAACCCACACUGGCUGGGGCUGGAGCUACCUGAGAUGACAUAAAGGAGAAGAGGUCUCAUCUGCACAGCAGGAGAUGAAGGCUCACCCUUGUCCAAGGCCCUGCUCCUUUGUAACGCUGGGAACCCCGGGAGAAGCCCUGGCCCUGU
Anas platyrhynchos (mallard) is the source of this 7479-nucleotide non-coding RNA. NCBI's taxonomy places the organism in Eukaryota, Metazoa, Chordata, Aves, Anseriformes, Anatidae. The record is from RefSeq and is a predicted model, not a curated record.